Molecule: unclassified non-coding RNA, 250 nt
Filed under: plant metagenome
Description: partial contains small subunit ribosomal RNA and internal transcribed spacer 1
Rfam family: Eukaryotic small subunit ribosomal RNA (bases 1-46)
Source: RNAcentral
AAGUCGUAACAAGGUUUCCGUAGGUGAACCUGCGGAAGGAUCAUUACAGAGUUGGGGUCCCUCGGGGCCCGAUCUCCCACCCUUUGUCGUCGCGAAUCUUGUUGCUUUGGCGAGGCCCGCCGACCCCCCUUCACCGGGGGCGAGGCGACCGGGCUCUGACCGGCCCGGGCAGCCGCCCGCCAGAGGACCAAAACCAAACUCUUCUUGAAAACCCAUGCGGUCAGAGUAAAAAUGAUAAAAUAAAUCAAAA